This is a long non-coding RNA of Tigriopus californicus, 350 nucleotides long. RefSeq lists it as uncharacterized. The record is from RefSeq and is a predicted model, not a curated record. NCBI's taxonomy places the organism in Eukaryota, Metazoa, Arthropoda, Copepoda, Harpacticoida, Harpacticidae. The transcript has 2 exons.
AGUCACGAAGCGUAUACAACAGGAUGUUCAAAGGUUUUUGGAUGGGGGCCUUUCAUUUGGGCAACUUUAUUGGUCCCACCGUGGGUGGAAUAAUGGUAAACACCAUCGGAUUCCCUCAAACCAGUCAAAUCUCAAUCUUGGUGUCCCUUUUGAUGGUAAUUCUGGAUUGCAUUCAUUACUUCUUUCAAGUCAAGGGAGAGAAGGCACAACUCGAGUAUGAGAAUAUUUCGUAACAUUUCAUCUGACAGAUAUUGUUUCAUGCCGUUUAUUACUUUUUGUUCUUCUGAGUUACAACAGUUAAUAAAUCUCGGCGCCACAGUUAUGAAUAGCAUUCAUAACUGAUUCAUUCA